Molecule: ribosomal RNA, 442 nt
Filed under: uncultured bacterium
Lineage: Bacteria
Description: partial 16S ribosomal RNA
Rfam family: Bacterial small subunit ribosomal RNA
Source: RNAcentral
CCUACGGGGUGCAGCAGUGGGGAAUAUUGGGCAAUGGGCGCAAGCCUGACCCAGCAACGCCGCGUGAAGGAAGAAGGCUUUCGGGUCGUAAACUUCUUUUGUCAGGGAAGAGUAGAAGACGGUACCUGACGCAUAAGCCACGGCUAACUACGUGCCAGCAGCCGGGGUAAUACGUAGGUGGCAAGCGUUGUCCGGAUUUAAUGGGUGUAAAGGGCGUGUAGCCGGGUUGACAAGUCAGAUGUGAAAUCCUGCGGCUUAACCGCAGAACUGCAUUUGAAACUGUUGAUCUGGAGUACGGGAGAGGCAGACGGAAUUCCUAGUGUAGCGGUGAAAUGCGUAGAUAUUAGGAGGAACACCAGUGGCGAAGGCGGUCUGCUGGACAGCAACUGACGGUGCGGCGCGAAAGCGUGGGGAGCAAACAGGAUUAGAUACCCGGGUAGUC